AUACGUAGGGUGCAAGCGUUAAUCGGAAUUACUGGCGUAAGGCGUGCGCAGGCGGUUUUGUAAGACAGUGGUGAAAUCCCCGGGCUCAACCUGGGAACUGCCAUUGUGACUGCAAGGCUGGAGUGCGGCAGAGGGGGAUGGAAUUCCGCGUGUAGCCGUGAAAUGCGUAGAUAUGCGGAGGAACACCGAUGGCGAAGGCAAUCCCCUGGGCCUGCACUGACGCUCAUGCACGAAAGCGUGGGGAGCAAACAGGAUUAGAUACCCUGGUAGUCCACGCCCUAAACGAUGUCAACUGGUUGUUGGGGAUUUAUUUUCUCAGUAACGAAGCUAACGCGUGAAGUUGACCGCCUGGGGAGUACGGCCGCAAGGUUAAAACUCAAAGGAAUUGACGGGG
RNAcentral lists this ribosomal RNA (394 nucleotides) under uncultured bacterium. RNAcentral's name for it is "partial 16S ribosomal RNA". It matches the Rfam family "Bacterial small subunit ribosomal RNA", at positions 523 to 918 of the family's 1533-position model. The record is from RNAcentral.